GACGAACGCUGGCGGCGUGCUUAACACAUGCAAGUCGAACGGUAAGGCCCCUUCGGGGGUACACGAGUGGCGAACGGGUGCGUAACACGUGAGCAACCUGCCCUUGACUCUGGAAUAACAGUUGGAAACAGCUGCUAAUACUGGAUAUUCAUCGUCUCCUUCCUGGGGGGUGGUGGAAAGCUCCGGCGGUCAGGGAUGGGCUCGCGGCCUAUCAGCUUGUUGGUGAGGUAAUGGCUCACCAAGGCUUCGACGGGUAGCCGGCCUGAGAGGGCGACCGGCCACACUGGGACUGAGAUACGGCCCAGACUCCUACGGGAGGCAGCAGUGGGGAAUAUUGCACAAUGGGCGCAAGCCUGAUGCAGCAACGCCGCGUGCGGGAUGACGGCCUUCGGGUUGUAAACCGCUUUCAGUAGGGACGAAGGGUGACUGACGGUACCUACAGAAGAAGGACCGGCUAACUACGUG
RNAcentral lists this ribosomal RNA (465 nucleotides) under uncultured bacterium. RNAcentral describes it as "partial 16S ribosomal RNA". It matches the Rfam family "Bacterial small subunit ribosomal RNA", at positions 28 to 507 of the family's 1533-position model. The record is from RNAcentral.